CCUACGGGWGGCWGCAGUAGGGAAUCUUCCGCAAUGGACGAAAGUCUGACGGAGCAACGCCGCGUGAGUGAUGAAGGUUUUCGGAUCGUAAAGCUCUGUUGUUAGGGAAGAACAAGUACCGUUCGAAUAGGGCGGUACCUUGACGGUACCUAACCAGAAAGCCACGGCUAACUACGUGCCAGCAGCCGCGGUAAUACGUAGGUGGCAAGCGUUGUCCGGAAUUAUUGGGCGUAAAGGGCUCGCAGGCGGUUUCUUAAGUCUGAUGUGAAAGCCCCCGGCUCAACCGGGGAGGGUCAUUGGAAACUGGGGAACUUGAGUGCAGAAGAGGAGAGUGGAAUUCCACGUGUAGCGGUGAAAUGCGUAGAGAUGUGGAGGAACACCAGUGGCGAAGGCGACUCUCUGGUCUGUAACUGACGCUGAGGAGCGAAAGCGUGGGGAGCGAACAGGAUUAGAUACCCCCG
This 461-nucleotide ribosomal RNA is filed under the name Bacillus subtilis. Its description in RNAcentral is "bacterial SSU rRNA". Lineage: Bacteria; Bacillati; Bacillota; Bacilli; Caryophanales; Bacillaceae. The record is from RNAcentral.